RNAcentral lists this ribosomal RNA (254 nucleotides) under uncultured bacterium. Its description in RNAcentral is "partial 16S ribosomal RNA". It matches the Rfam family "Bacterial small subunit ribosomal RNA", at positions 524 to 776 of the family's 1533-position model. The record is from RNAcentral.
UACGUAGGAGGCGAGCGUUGUCCGGAAUCACUGGGCGUAAAGGGCGCGUAGGUGGCGCGGGUAGUCAUCGGUGAAAGCUCAGGGCUCAACCCUGAGUCGGCCGGUGAUACUCCCGCGCUUGAGUGUGGUAGAGGCCAAUGGAAUUCCGGGUGUAGCGGUGGAAUGCGUAGAGAUCCGGAAGAACACCGGUGGCGAAGGCGGUUGGCUGGGCCACAACUGACACUGAUGCGCGACAGCGUGGGGGAGCAAACAGG